This is a non-coding RNA of Caenorhabditis elegans, 137 nucleotides long. The record is from Ensembl. NCBI's taxonomy places the organism in Eukaryota, Metazoa, Nematoda, Chromadorea, Rhabditida, Rhabditidae.
UAGGCCUAGUCUCAAGCUUCGGCUCAGACUUCGGCUUUGUCUAAGGUUUAGUCUUAGGCGUAGGCUUAGGCUUAGGCUUAGAGUUAGGCUUAGGCUUAGACGUAGGCAUAGGCUUAGGAUUGUGCUUAGGCUUAGGA